This is a non-coding RNA of Pelobates cultripes (western spadefoot toad), 327 nucleotides long. NCBI's taxonomy places the organism in Eukaryota, Metazoa, Chordata, Amphibia, Anura, Pelobatidae. The record is from the annotation of a GenBank genome assembly.
AUCUAGUUAUAAUUUGUCACUGAGAAGCAUUUAAGAAAUAAAACAAAAUGUCAACCAGGAAAACAACGGAAAAAAAGAAAGAAAUUAAGUCAGUUCAACAAACAGAAAAGAGGUUGUCAGGUUUUUUUGCAACUCCUAUUAAAGAUCCUAUUAAAGAUCCGCAGGAACAGAUAAUUGAUAGUAAGACACACCCAAGUAAUACUUCCAAUAUUAUCCAAGAAGUUGCACUUAAUCAAUUUCCAUCAGAAGCUCAAGCAAUUGCUUCAAUUAGUAUCCAAGAUCAAUUUAAGCAAACGCUGGAACUACAAUUAAAUUUAUUGAAACAAG